AUUUUGGUUGACGUAUUUAAAGUUGCUGUGAGACACUAAUCCACUUUCAUAAUUUGAUGUUAGUAUUUACCAGUACUUUUUUCAGAAUGAAUCCUGUAAUUCUAAUAUUCUACUAUGGAUGCGUUUUCUUUAAGCAAGCACUAUCCGAAGAAUGUAUGCCAACUUUUGUCGAUUGCUAUUGCGAAAAUUAUUUACAACACAAUAUUCAAAUUACAGUCAAUACGGUAUUGAAGAGAGACGAAGAUACAGAUUUAACUUUAUGUGUUUCAGCUGAAUAUCCCCCUGAUGUUUGCGCCAAAAGAAAUUGUUCUAUUCUGCCAAAUAAAAAUUUCGCUUCGCUUU
This is a non-coding RNA of Parasteatoda tepidariorum (common house spider), 342 nucleotides long. Lineage: Eukaryota; Metazoa; Arthropoda; Arachnida; Araneae; Theridiidae. The record is from RefSeq and is a predicted model, not a curated record.